Molecule: ribosomal RNA, 483 nt
Filed under: uncultured bacterium
Lineage: Bacteria
Description: partial 16S ribosomal RNA
Rfam family: Bacterial small subunit ribosomal RNA
Source: RNAcentral
AUUGAACGCUGGCGGCAGGCCUAACACAUGCAAGUCGAGCGGAUGAAGGGAGCUUGCUCCUGGAUUCAGCGGCGGACGCGUGAGUAAUGCCUAGGAAUCUGCCUGGUAGUGGGGGAUAACGUCCGGAAACGGGCGCUAAUACCGCAUACGUCCUGAGGGAGAAAGUGGGGGAUCUUCGGACCUCACGCUAUCAGAUGAGCCUAGGUCGGAUUAGCUAGUUGGUGGGGUAAAGGCCUACCAAGGCGACGAUCCGUAACUGGUCUGAGAGGAUGAUCAGUCACACUGGAACUGAGACACGGUCCAGACUCCUACGGGAGGCAGCAGUGGGGAAUAUUGGACAAUGGGCGAAAGCCUGAUCCAGCCAUGCCGCGUGUGUGAAGAAGGUCUUCGGAUUGUAAAGCACUUUAAGUUGGGAGGAAGGGCAGUAAGUUAAUACCUUGCUGUUUUGACGUUACCAACAGAAUAGCACCGGCUAACUUCGUG